Molecule: long non-coding RNA, 450 nt
Filed under: Pogona vitticeps (central bearded dragon)
Lineage: Eukaryota; Metazoa; Chordata; Lepidosauria; Squamata; Agamidae
Description: lncRNA (ENSPVIG00000016481.1)
Source: RNAcentral
CUUUAGCCAACACCUGCAGGCCUGUCCCUGCCUUUCCUCUUUCUGUGGAAACCGAAUUCACCGCAUUCCAAUCACGGGAAGACAAGCAAGGACCACCCUUUUAAUCUAGUUUACUUCCAUCAGAGAAGGGGAGUGGUUGUUGUGUUGUUUCUUCUUGGAGGAGGGCGUAAGGGGCUGUGUAGCUGUGAAACAUUGAAGGAAAAGAAAAAUCUUCCAGGAAAAGUCAUGCCUAAUACCAUUGACACAAUUUUGGAGAUAAGAAGAUUCAGAGAUUGGAGAAGCAGUAUUUGAAAGCUCAGCAAAGUCUUUUUGCAGGGCACAUCAGUCAGCAAAAAAAGUUCACAAAAAGACCAAGAGCAUAAGAUACAAGGGUAAGGGUAAGUUGUUAUAGCCAGUGGCUUUCAGACUUACAGUGAAAUAAACUAAUACUAGAAAACUUUCUCUGUGGCA